This 164-nucleotide ribosomal RNA is filed under the name Scaevola tahitensis. RNAcentral describes it as "5.8S ribosomal RNA". It matches the Rfam family "5.8S ribosomal RNA". From Rfam's summary of the family: 5.8S ribosomal RNA (5.8S rRNA) is a component of the large subunit of the eukaryotic ribosome. It is transcribed by RNA polymerase I as part of the 45S precursor that also contains 18S and 28S rRNA. Functionally, it is thought that 5.8S rRNA may be involved in ribosome translocation. The record is from RNAcentral. Lineage: Eukaryota; Viridiplantae; Streptophyta; Magnoliopsida; Asterales; Goodeniaceae.
CAAACGACUCUCGGCAACGGAUAUCUCGGCUCAUGCAUCGAUGAAGAACGUAGCGAAAUGCGAUACUUGGUGUGAAUUGCAGAAUCCCGUGAACCAUCGAGUUUUUGAACGCAAGUUGCGCCCGAAGCCAUUCGGCCGAGGGCACGUCCGCCUGGGCGUCACAC